GAUGAACGCUGGCGGCGUGCCUAAUACAUGCAAGUCGAGCGAACGGACGAGAAGCUUGCUUCUCUGAUGUUAGCGGCGGACGGGUGAGUAACACGUGGAUAACCUACUUAUAAGACUGGGAUAACUUCGGGAAACCGUAGCUAAUACCGGAUAAUAUUUUGAACCGCAUGGUUCAAAAGUGAAAGACGGUCUUGCUGUCACUUAUAGAUGGAUCCGCGCUGCAUUAGCUAGUUGGUAAGGUAACGGCUUACCAAGGCAACGAUGCAUAGCCGACCUGAGAGGGUGAUCGGCCACACUGGAACUGAGACACGGUCCAGACUCCUACGGGAGGCAGCAGUAGGGAAUCUUCCGCAAUGGGCGAAAGCCUGACGGAGCAACGCCGCGUGAGUGAUGAAGGUCUUCGGAUCGUAAAACUCUGUUAUUAGGGAAGAACAUAUGUGUAAGUAACUGUGCACAUCUUGACGGUACCUAAUCAGAAAGCCACGGCUAACUACGUG
Molecule: ribosomal RNA, 497 nt
Filed under: uncultured bacterium
Lineage: Bacteria
Description: partial 16S ribosomal RNA
Rfam family: Bacterial small subunit ribosomal RNA
Source: RNAcentral